AGCGGCGGACGGGUGAGUAACGCGUGGGUAACCUGCCUUAUACAGGGGGAUAACAGUUAGAAAUGACUGCUAAUACCGCAUAAGCGCACAGUACCGCAUGGUAGUGUGUGAAAAACUCCGGUGGUAUAAGAUGGACCCGCGUCUGAUUAGCCAGUUGGCGGGGUAACGGCCCACCAAGGCGACGAUCAGUAGCCGGCCUGAGAGGGUGAACGGCCACAUUGGGACUGAGACACGGCCCAAACUCCUACGGAAGGCAGCAG
RNAcentral lists this ribosomal RNA (260 nucleotides) under uncultured bacterium. RNAcentral describes it as "partial 16S ribosomal RNA". It matches the Rfam family "Bacterial small subunit ribosomal RNA", at positions 94 to 354 of the family's 1533-position model. The record is from RNAcentral.